CGCGCUUUGCCAUGGCAAUAGCUCGCACGCGCCGCCGUCUCUUUCUCUUCCACUUUCUACGCAGGUACGGAGUCGAAGAUUUCAAACUCGGUGUUCCCCCCUGUUCAUUUCAUUUCAAUGCAAUUUUUCCCAACAAAGCAAAGAAGCCCAAACCAAAAAUUAAUAAAUCAGUGAAGAUGUGAAAUCACAGUGGGUGAUUGAGAGAGUAAAUAUUGGGGUUUGGACCUGGGUUUUUGGGGAUUUUACAGAAAUUAUUGCACACUGACUCGAUGUGAGAGAGAGAAGAAGAGAGACGAUCUGUAAGAUGGCGGUUGGUGGAUUUUGG
RNAcentral lists this long non-coding RNA (325 nucleotides) under Manihot esculenta (cassava). Its description in RNAcentral is "long non-coding RNA (MESC_LNC000994)". The record is from RNAcentral. Lineage: Eukaryota; Viridiplantae; Streptophyta; Magnoliopsida; Malpighiales; Euphorbiaceae.